GAUCCUGGCUCAGAAUCAACGCUGGCGGCGUGCCUAACACAUGCAAGUCGAACGAGAAAGGGGCUUCGGCCCUGAGUAAAGUGGCGGACGGGUGAGUAACACGUGGGUGAUCUGCCCUCCAGUGGGGGAUAACACACCGAAAGGUGUGCUAAUACCGCAUGGAGUUCCGGUUGUCAUGGCCGGAAUGAAAGCAGCAAUGUGCUGGAGGAGGAGCCCGCGCCGGAUUAGCUAGUUGGUGGGGUAACGGCCCACCAAGGCUACGAUCCGUAGCCGGCCUGAGAGGGUGACCGGCCACACUGGAACUGAGACACGGUCCAGACUCCUACGGGAGGCAGCAGUGGGGAAUUUUGCGCAAUGGGGGAAACCCUGACGCAGCAACGCCGCGUGGACGAUGAAGGCCUUUGGGUCGUAAAGUCCUGUCAGCAGGGAAAAACAAAAUGAUGGUACCUGCAGAGGAAGCUCCGGCUAACUUCGUGCCAGCAGCCGCGGUAAUACGAGGGGAGCAAGCGUUGUUCGGAAUCAUUGGGCGUAAAGGGCGCGUAGGCGGCCGUACAAGUCUGGGGUGAAAGCCCUCGGCUCAACCGAGGAAUUGCCUUGGAAACUGUAUGGCUUGAGUAUUGGAGAGGAAAGCGGAAUUCCCAGUGUAGCGGUGAAAUGCGUAGAUAUUGGGAGGAACACCUGUGGCGAAGGCGGCUUUCUGGACAAUCACUGACGCUGAGGCGCGAAAGCCAGGGGA
Molecule: ribosomal RNA, 736 nt
Filed under: uncultured Acidobacteriota bacterium
Lineage: Bacteria; Pseudomonadati; Acidobacteriota
Description: bacterial SSU rRNA
Rfam family: Bacterial small subunit ribosomal RNA
Source: RNAcentral